GACGAACCUGGCGGCGUGCUAACAACAAGCCAAGUCGAACGGAAAGGCCUGCAGCUUGCUGCGGGUACUCGAGUGGCGAACGGGUGAGUAACACGUGGGUGAUCUGCCUUGCACUUCGGGAUAAGCUUGGGAAACUGGGUCUAAUACCGGAUAGGACAGCUGUUUAGUGUCAGUUGUGGAAAGUUUUUUCGGUGCAAGAUGAGCUCGCGGCCUAUCAGCUUGUUGGUGGGGUAAUGGCCUACCAAGGCGUCGACGGGUAGCCGGCCUGAGAGGGUGUACGGCCACAUUGGGACUGAGAUACGGCCCAGACUCCUACGGGAGGCAGCAGUGGGGAAUAUUGCACAAUGGGCGGAAGCCUGAUGCAGCGACGCCGCGUGGGGGAUGAAGGCCUUCGGGUUGUAAACUCCUUUCGACAGGGACGAAGCGUAAGUGACGGUACCUGUAUAAGAAGCACCGGCUAACUACGUGCCAGCAGCCGCGGUAAUACGUAGGGUGCGAGCGUUGUCCGGAAUUACUGGGCGUAAAGAGCUCGUAGGUGGUUUGUCGCGUCGUCUGUGAAAUUCCGGGGCUUAACUCCGGGCGUGCAGGCGAUACGGGCUGACUUGAGUGCUGUAGGGGAGACUGGAAUUCCUGGUGUAGCGGUGAAAUGCGCAGAUAUCAGGAGGAACACCGAUGGCGAAGGCAGGUCUCUGGGCAGUAACUGACGCUGAGGAGCGAAAGCAUGGGUAGCGAACAGGAUUAGAUACCCUGGUAGUCCAUGCCGUAAACGGUGGGCGCUAGGUGUAGGGGGCUUCCACGUCUUCUGUGCCGUAGCUAACGCAUUAAGCGCCCCGCCUGGGGAGUACUGCCGCAAGG
Molecule: ribosomal RNA, 855 nt
Filed under: uncultured Actinomycetes bacterium
Lineage: Bacteria; Bacillati; Actinomycetota; Actinomycetes
Description: bacterial SSU rRNA
Rfam family: Bacterial small subunit ribosomal RNA
Source: RNAcentral